Molecule: ribosomal RNA, 253 nt
Filed under: uncultured bacterium
Lineage: Bacteria
Description: partial 16S ribosomal RNA
Rfam family: Bacterial small subunit ribosomal RNA
Source: RNAcentral
GACGAACCGUGCGAACGUUGUUCGGAAUCACUGGGCUUAAAGGGCGCGUAGGCGGGCGUGCAAGUCAGGGGUGAAAUCCUCCGGCUCAACCGGAGAACAGCUUUUGAUACUGCACGCCUCGAGGGGGGUAGGGGCAUGUGGAACUUCCGGUGGAGCGGUGAAAUGCGUAGAUAUCGGAAGGAACGCCGGUGGCGAAAGCGACGUGCUGGACCCCUUCUGACGCUGAGGCGCGAAAGCCAGGGGAGCAAACGGG